This 11869-nucleotide long non-coding RNA is filed under the name Triticum aestivum (bread wheat). RNAcentral describes it as "long non-coding RNA (TAES_LNC017479)". Lineage: Eukaryota; Viridiplantae; Streptophyta; Magnoliopsida; Poales; Poaceae. The record is from RNAcentral.
UGUUUCUAGUUAGAGGAAAGGAAUCAAAGAAUCUUCUUCAAUGUCAUAGUCAUCCACCUCAUUAUCUUGAAAAAAGUAGUGCUUACCAUACUAUCUAAUCUUGCUUUGGAAUGGUGCUUACUGUAUUGUUUACUGCAACUGUUUUUACCAAGUGCAAGAAGCGUGUAUGUGUAGCACAUCGCUAGGUGGUUUGGCGAAUGUAAUUUCACUAGUUUUUUCUGUAUGAUGGAUUUAUGGUUGCCCCACAUCUUCAUAUUUUGAUGAUACUCUGAGCUUCUGCUGCUUUCUUAUAAAAUUGAGCUCAUGAAAUUUGGUCUUAAAAUAGCACAUGAAGCAUAUGUAUUUCGAGUGUCAGUUUUCACUCUGCUUAACUAUGAAUCCUAUGUUUUCUCUUGUAGACUUGCAUGAUGAAGGCUGCACAAUCUCGCCCUUGGUCAGAUCUUCCGCCAGAACUCCUGGGACUUGUUCUCAAGCGCCUCCCUUCCCUAGCUGACCGUGUUCGUCUGAGAGCUGUCUGCCACCCAUGGCGCUCUAAUAGCAGGUUGCAGACCCUUCCUCUCCCAUUCCUGUGGCUCACUCUCCCUGAUGGCACCCUCCUCGGCAUUCCAAGCGGUGAAAUUCACCACAUAUCUUUACCGGAAGGUGCGUGUUGCCAGGGCUCCAUUGACAACUGGCUAUUCCUCAUGCACAAUGAUGGUGUGUGCUACUUGAUGAGCCCUUUCUCCAAGACCAGGUUGCAGCUUCCUAAGCUAGCAAAGGUAUGGAAGCGUGAGAUAUAUGAUCCCGAACCCCGAAUUAACCCAAUUUUCUACAACUUGGUGCUCCCCUUUCCACUUGACUCGUCACCGUGUUCCCUACUUGCUGCACUGAUCAUGGAUGAUGGUAACUGGGGUACACUUUGUAUUAGUCAAUCACCGAUUGUCACUGACUCAUUCAGAGAUGAUAAGCAUCCAGCAAAGCUCCUCUGUAGUGUUGCGUUCUUUGAUGGCAAGCUGUACGGGCUGGGGGGGUUUGACCAACUAUUCAUCUUUGAAUUAGACAAGGACCUUGGUAUUUCAUCCAUGGAGUGUAUAAUUGACUAUGGGUGAGUUAGGUGGAAUACCUCAAUCGUUGUCGGAAGAGAAGGCGUAUAUGAUAAGGGGGUAUCUAGUUGAAUGUGGCGAUAGACUGUUGAUGGUGAAACGGUGGAUUCAUCCUAUUGCCCGUUCAACAAGUGAUGACUUUUUCGAGCAUAACCGUACUGUUGCACUUGGGGUUUUUGAGGCAGAUUUGGGCACCGAUCCUGCUGGAUGGAGAACAGUAAAUGAUUUGGAUGGCCAUGCGCUCUUUCUUGGCCAGCAUAGCUCCAAGUCCCUGCGCGCUGGAGAAUGCAGUGGAUACCAAGAGGACUGCAUCUACUUCAUGUGUGACUAUUCCUGGCCAAAGCAUUCUGCAAAUCCUCUUCGUGAUGCCGGUGUUUACAACAUCAGGAAUCAGACAUUCAUGCCACUGAUGUCGGGGACUGCAGCGGUACCGCCACAUCAUGCUGGCCAGUGGCGUCCGACAUGGUUUUUCCCUCCUGAAGCUGUGUGACCAAGCCUUGUAAUCACUGAUCUUCAGAGUAAUUGUUGGAUAAUGUAUCUGAGAUGGAAGUUGGAAGGGCUUCGUCCUCACAGCGACAGGUGAGUUGUUGAUGGAUGGUAGAGAUUCGUAGUGUUAGUUUCUGUGUUGGUAGGCUGGUAGGUUCAGUUUGAUGAGUGAUGUGUUCUACCUGGUGGCUGUUGUUCUGUCUUGUGGUGGCUGAACUUAGUGAUCCUGUCCUAGUGUAGCGUUGUAACUGCUGUUGCCUGAACUUUUAAAAGCGGGCCGCUGUAUCAUCAGUUUUAUUUUAAUUAAAUUGGAGGGUGUGUUCUCCUUUCAUCAAAAUUUUCUUGUAUGAUGUUAGAUUCUGUAUUAGUAUGAUGAUAGAGAUGUUUUGCAUUUUCAAGUAUUAUGGAUGAUUUGUUUUUGCUGGUAUUAUGGAUGAUUUUUAACAGGAUGCAUUGUAAUGCGCAUGUCUUUUGCUGUGAUAUAAGACUAAAGGCAUCUCUAAUAGAAUCUUUAAAUUCGGUAACUCCUCAUGUUGGCAUCAUUUGGGGAGUCAAACCGUAGCUAACGGAAGCCCUAUAACUAUAACUCCUCAAAAUUUUGAGUUAAUCCUAUGCCUUCUCUGCUCAAAUUUGAGCACGUCACACCCAUUCUCCUCAAAUCUCCUCUCAUCGAGAAAAUGGCUCAACCGGCGGCAAGAUGCCAAACUGAACCCGCCCACGCCAGUAUAAACCCCGUCGGUGCCACACCAAACCCUAAAUCCUUCUUGGCCACCCUAUUUCUCCCAAAUCACCGUCGCCACCACCCAAUUUUGUCAUCACCGUUCGAAUGGCCAUGGCUCGCUGCCUGCAGCGGGUAGAGCAGUGGGGUGUUGCCGUGCCGGAUGUCAUCCUCGGACGAUGACUACAAUGACGAGCCAGAGGCGGUGCAGCUCGCAGUAGCCAUGGCCCAGGAAGCCGAUGAAGAGGACGAGGGGGGCGAUGAAGAGGAGGAGGGGCAAGGCGAUGGAGGAGAAUGAGCAGUCGACGAAGGAAGCCGUGCACGAGGACGGCGCCUACGACCACACCUACCUCCCCUCACGGGAGGAGGCAGAGCGGAUCAAUACAACAGUUUUCGGUGUGCACUUUGGUAGCUUUGUAGGCGCUCGAGUACCUAGUCCGGUGUGUUAGCCUUCCGUCGCUUUGUAUGUAUUGUGGUGCUUUAGGUCUAAUCUAGCUAGCCUUUGUUUUAGGUUUUUGCCCGGUUUUCCUCCGAAACCGAGCAGCCUCUUUGUUUUUUACACAUGUCUUUAUGCGAUGCAUUAUUUAUCCGAGGUCUUCUUGUAAUAUCCUUUUUUAAUCAAUGGAUUUGACAGUUCUCCUGUCAACAUUAUAAAAUGAUAAGGUUCAAAAAAACAUUAUAAAAUGAUAUCGAAGAUGGGCAUGUAAAUUUGUUCCCAAGAUUCCUAAAUGUUUGAAAGGCUUUUCUAGUUAUCAUUUUAAGAGCAACACUAGCAGACCCCUUAUACUCGAGAAUUGUAAACGCGAUAUAAGGGUCAAGAAAGCAGGGGCCCGACAAGGUAGUCCUUCGUCCCAAUGACGCCGCGGCCGCCCAGGCGCUCCUCCCCCAGCUCGAUCUUGACGGCGAGGAGGUCCCCAGACUCCCUCUCCCUCUUCACGGGCAGCAUCCCCGCAUCGGAAGUGCUCCCCGCGCCCGAAGACCUCCCCGCGUCAGAGUGCCUCGCAUGGCGGAGGUCGUACUCCUCCGUCUUGCGGCGGAGGAGGGAGCCAGCAACCCAUACUUGGUGUACCGCUUGACCGCGCGCUUGCGCGCCGCGUCGGAGGUGAAGCAGUGUUUGCGCUCCGGGUCAUCGCCGCCACCGCGCCGGCCAGAGCUCCACAUCNNNNNNNNNNNNNNNNNNNNNNNNNNNNNNNNNNNNNNNNNNNNNNNNNNNNNNNNNNNNNNNNNNNNNNNNNNNNNNNNNNNNNNNNNNNNNNNNNNNNNNNNNNNNNNNNNNNNNNNNNNNNNNNNNNNNNNNNNNNNNNNNNNNNNNNNNNNNNNNNNNNNNNNNNNNNNNNNNNNNNNNNNNNNNNNNNNNNNNNNNNNNNNNNNNNNNNNNNNNNNNNNNNNNNNNNNNNNNNNNNNNNNNNNNNNNNNNNNNNNNNNNNNNNNNNNNNNNNNNNNNNNNNNNNNNNNNNNNNNNNNNNNNNNNNNNNNNNNNNNNNNNNNNNNNNNNNNNNNNNNNNNNNNNNNNNNNNNNNNNNNNNNNNNNNNNNNNNNNNNNNNNNNNUCUGACCCAAAAACCGGAUCAAACUCGUAUAGUCGCCGGACUUUUACCAUUUGUGCGUUUAUACGGGUGUGCUAGAGUUGAUGUGAGCAGGGUCUUACUCUGUCCUCUUCCCAUCGGGCUUCCCCGGUUCUCUCCCCUCCCAUGGUCAGGUUCCAAUCCCUACUUCUCCGGCGAUUUGAGACUUGCGUGUGACUAGCAGCCUCCCGCCCCACCUCAUCUGCUGGAGGCCGAAUCUGUUCCCCGCCAUCCACCGGCUCGCCGACGAGGCAACAAGACUCAGCAGUAAGCUGUAAGCCCUACCGCCUUCGCACUCUCCAUCUUGUGAGGGGUUUCUUCCAGUAGAUCGGGCUGGGCGGACUGAUGCUUUGCCUGACCACCAUUGUUUCUUCUAGUAGAUCUAUGCUUGGUGGUUUUUUUACCUGGUGUGAACUAGAAAUGUUCAGGAAUGUUUGGCUCUGAUCCGGACCUCUCAAUAUCUCACACUCUCCCGUUCUUGAAGAAAAUAUAAAAUGGCACCUCUUUUGCAAAUCCCUAUUUGUUUUUCUACCAAAAUUGUUUCAGUUAAUGAGUAGAUCUAUGCCUAGUAGAAAUGUGUAUGAAUUUAUUAUACACUAAAGGAAGGAACACCUGUCGCUCUUGGUUCUGAUGCAACGCAUAUCACUCUUUCAGCAUAUACUCUUGAUAAGAAAGAAAAAUGACACCUCUUUCAGUGGCGGAGCCAGAAAAAUAGGAUGAGGAGGGCCGAGUAUUGUUCAACCUUGUUGGGUGGGCCAAUCCAUCAAAAACACCCAUUUUAGCAAAAAAAAAAAUCACUGCUACUAUUCAUCUAUUAGGCCUAAAUCACAAAUGUUACUUUGGCUAACCAAAAUUUGUUUUCUUUUAGUCUAUGCUUGGUAAUAAGCUGAUGUAAAACAGCAAAUAUUUGUUCAGUAUUACACUUUCCUGUGAUGCCCAGCCAUUGUUUCAGGCUUUCAGCUUGUACUUGAACAAGAUGUCACUUCUUUUUCUCUACAUAAUUUUACUGAAUAGACCAGCCUUUUCUUCUAAAUAAAAUGAAAAUGGAGUAAGUGCAGUGACUGGGUCAUUGCCGCUGGGAUAUAGCACAUGAGACAUUGGGAACACUGCUCUCUCAUAGUUAGUAUACUAAUGAUGCUCAUGAUUUCUAGUCAGAGGAAGAGAAUCAAUGAAUCUUGAAAAAUGAGUGCCUAGUACACUAUCUAAUCUUCCUUGGAGUUAAUACUUAUGAAUUAUGAUGCCAACAAAAUGGUGCUUAUUGUACUGUUUACUGCAAACUGUUGUUACCAAGUGCAAUGAGCAUAUAUGCAUAGAGCAAGGCUAAAGUGACUUGGCAAAUGUACUUUCACUAGUUUAUUUCUGCAUGAUGUAUUUAUGGUUCCCCCGCAUCUUCAUAUUUUGAUGAUACUUUGAACUUCUGCAGCUUUCUUAUCAAAUAGAGCUGAUGAAAUUUAGCCUUAAAAUGGUACAGGAAGCAUAUGUAUUGCUAGUUGCAGUUUUAACUCUUUCUAAUUACGAAUCAUAUGUCUUCUCUUGUAGACUUGCAUGAUGGAGGCUGCGGAAUUUCGCCCUUGGUCAGAUCUUCCGCCAGAACUCCUGGGACUUGUUCUCAAGCGCCUCCCUUCCCUAGCUGACCGUGUUCAUUUGAGAGCUGUCUGCCACCCAUGGCGCUCUAAUAGCAGGUUGCAGACCCUUCCUCUCCCAUUCCUGUGGCUCACUCUCCCUGAUGGCACCUUCCUCAGCAUUCCAAGCGGUGAAAUUCACCACAUAUCUUUACCGGAAGGUGUGUCUUGCCAGGGCUCCAUUGACAACUUGCUAUUCCUCAUGCACAAUGAUGGUGUGUGCUACUUGAUGAACCCUUUCUCCAAGACCAGGUUGCAGCUUCCUAAGCUAGCAAAGGUAUGGAAGCGUGAGAUAUAUGAUCCCGAACCCCGAAUUAACCCAAUUUUCCACAACUUGGUGGUGCCCUUUUCACUUGACUCGUCACCCUGUUCCCUACUUGGUGCACUGAUCAUGGAUGAUGGUAACUGGGGUACACUUUGUAUUAGUCAACCACCGAUUGUCACUGACUCAUUCAGAGAUGAUAAGCAUCCAGCAAAGCUCCUCUGUAGUGUUGCGUUCUUUGAUGGCAAGCUGUACGGGCUGGGGGGGGGGUUUGACCAACUAUUCAUCUUUGAAUUAGACAAGGACCUUGGUAUUUCAUCCAUGGAGUGUAUAAUUGACUAUGGGUGAGUUAGGUGGAAUACCUCAAUCGUUGUCGGAAGAGAAGGCGUAUAUGAUAAGGGGGUAUCUAGUUGAAUGUGGCGAUAGACUGUUGAUGGUGAAACGGUGGAUUCAUCCUAUUGCCCGUUCAACAAGUGAUGACUUUUUCGAGCAUAACCGUACUGUUGCACUUGGGGCUUUUGAGGCAGAUUUGGGCACCGAUCCAGCUGGAUGGAGAACAGUAAAUGAUUUGGAUGGCCAUGCGCUCUUUCUUGGCCAGCAUAGCUCCAAGUCCCUGCGCGCUGGAGAAUGCAGUGGAUACCAAGAGGACUGCAUCUACUUCAUGUGUGACUAUUCCUGGCCAAAGCAUUCUGCAAAUCCUCUUCGUGAUGCCGGUGUUUAUAACAUUAGGAAUCAGACAUUCAUGCCACUGAUGUCGGGGACUGCAGCGGUACCGCCACGUCAUGCUGUCCAGUGGCGUCCGACAUGGUUUUUCCCUCCUGAAGCUGUGUGACCAAGCCUCUUAAUCACUGAUCCUCAGAGUAAUUGUUGGAUAAUGUAUCUGAGAUGGAAGUUGGAAGGGCUUCGUCCUCACAGCGACAGGUGAGUUGUUGAUGGAUGGUAGAGAUUCGUAGUGUUAGUUUCUGUGUUGGUAGGCUGGUAGGUUCAGUUUGAUGAGUGAUGUGUUCUACCUGGUGGCUGUUGUUCUGUCUUGUGGUGGCUGAACUUAGUGAUCCUGUCCUAGUGUAGCGUUGUAACUGCUGUUGCCUGAACUUUUAAACGCGGGCCGCUGUAUCAUUAGUUUUAUUUUAAUUAAAUUGGAGGGUGUGUUCUCCUUUCAUCAAAAUUUUCUUGUAUGAUGUUAGAUUCUGUAUUAGUAUGAUGAUAGAGAUGUUUUGCAUUUUCAAGUAUUAUGGAUGAUUUGUUUUUGCUGGUAUUAUGGAUGAUUUUUAACAGGAUGCAUUGUAAUGCGCAAGUCUUUUGCUGUGAUAUAAGACUAAAGGCAUCUCUCACAGAAUCUUUAAAUUUUGUAACUCCUCAUGUUGGCAUCAUUUGGGGAGUCAAACCGUAGCUAACGGAAGCCCUAUAACUAUAACUCCUCAAAAUUUUGAGUUAACCCUAUGCCUUCUCUGCUCAAAUUUGAGCACGUCAUACCCAUUCUCCUCAAAUCUCCUCUCAUCGAGAAAAUGGCUCAACCGGCGGCAAGAUGCCAAACUGAACCAGCCCACGCCAGUAUAAACCCCGUCGGUGCCACACCAAACCCUAAAUCCUUCUUGGCCGCCCUAUUUCUCCCAAAUCACCGUCGCCACCACCCAAUUUUGUCAUCACUGUUCGAAUGGCCAUGGCUCGCUGCCUGCAGCGGGUAGAGCAGUGGGGUGUUGCUGUGCCGGAUGUCAUCCUCGGAUGAUGACUACAAUGACGAGCCAGAGGCGGUGCAGCUCGCAGUAGCCAUGGCCGAGGAAGCCGAUGAAGAGGAGGAGGGGGGCGAUGAAGAGGAGGAGGGGCAAGGUGAUGGAGGAGGAUGAGCAGUCGACGAAGGAAGCCGUGCACGAGGACGGCGCCUACGACCACACCUACCUCCCUUCAAGGGAGGAGGCGGAGCAGAUCAAUACAACAGUUUUCGGUGUGCACUUUGGUAGCUUUGUAGGCGCUCGAGUACCUAGUUCGGUGUGUUAGCCUUCCGUCGCUUUGUAUGUAUUGUGGUGCUUUAGGUCUAAUCUAGCUAGCCUUUGUUUUAGGUUUUUGCCCGGUUUUCCUCCGAAACCGAGCAGCCUCUUUGUUUUUUACACAUGUCUUUAUGCGAUGCAUUAUCUCUCCGAGGUCUUCUUGUAAUAUCCUUUUUUAAUCAAUGGAUUUGACAGUUCUCCUGUCAACAUUAUAAAAUGAUAAGGUUCAAAAAAAAAUAUAAAAUGAUAUCGAAGAUGGGCAUGUAAAUUUGUUCCCAAGAUUCCUAAAUGUUUGAAAGGCUUUUCUAGUUAUCGUUUUAAGAGCAACACUAGCAGACCCCUUAUACUCGAGAACUGUAAACGCGAUAUAAGGGUCAAGAAAGCAGGGACCCGACAAGGUAGUCCUUCGUCCCGAUGACGCCGCGGCCGCCCGGGCGCUCCUCCCCCGGCUCGAUCUUGACGGGGAGGAGGUCGCCAGAGUCCCUCUCCCUCUUCACGGGCAGCAGCCCCGCAUCGGAAGUGCUCCCCGCGCCCGAAGAGCUCCCCGCGUCGGAGUGCCUCGCAUGGCGGAGGUCGUACUCCUCCGUCUUGCGGCGGAGGAGGGAGCCAGCAACCCAUACCUGGUGUACCGCUUGACCGCGCGCUUGCGCGCCGCGUCGGAGGUGAAGCAAUCUUUGCGCUCCGGGUCAUCGCCGCCACCGCGCCGGCCAGAGCUCCACAUCGUCGCGGAUGGGGGAAGGGGGGCUGAUUUCUCACCGACGAUGAGAAACGGAGUGCGGAAUGGGUGAGACGCGGCGGUGGAGGAUAGGGCUUCGGCCUGUAUCGGACGGCAAACCUGUAAAUANNNNNNNNNNNNNNNNNNNNNNNNNNNNNNNNNNNNNNNNNNNNNNNNNNNNNNNNNNGGGCGAUUUGUGGGCCACCGUAAAAAAAAUUACGGGCUGGGCGGCUAUAUGGGCUCUGGUCUGACCCAAAAACCGGAUCAAACUCGUAUAGUCGCCGGAGUUUUACCAUUUGUGCGUUUAUACGGGUUUGCUAGAGUUGCUGUGAGCAGUGUCUCACUCUGUACUCUUCCCAUCGGGCUUCCCCGGUUCUCUCCCCUCCCAUGGUCAGGUUCCAAUCCCUACUUCUCUGGCGAUUUGAGACUUGCGUGUGACUAGCAGCCUCCCGCCCCACCUCAUCCGCUGGAGGCCGAAUCUGUUCCCCGCCAUCCACCGGCUCGCCGACGAGGCAACAAGACUCAGCAGUAAGCUGUAAGCCCUACCACCUUCGCACUCUCCAUCUUGUCAGGGGUUUCUUCCAGUAGAUCGGGCUGGGCGGACUGAUGCUUUGCCUGCCCACCAUUGUUUCUUCUAGUAGAUCUAUGCUUGGUGGGUUUUUUUACCUGGUGUGAACUAGAAAUGUUCAGGAAUGUUUGGCUCUGAUGCGGACCUCUCAAUAUCUCACACUCUCCCGUUCUUGAAGAAAAUAUAAAAUGGCACCUCUUUUGCAAAUCCCUAUUUGUUUUUCUACCAAAAUUGUUUCAGUUAAUGAGUAGAUCUAUGCCUGGUAGAAAUGUGUAUGAAUUUAUUAUACACUAAAGGAAGGAACACCUGUCGCUCUUGGUUCUGAUGCAACGCAUAUCACUCUUUCAGCGGACACCUCUUUCAGUGGCGGAGCCAGAAAAAUAGGAUGAGGAGGGCCGAGUAUUGUUCAACCUUGUUGGGGUGGGCCAAUCCAUCAAAAACACCCAUUUUAGGGGAAAAAAAUCACUGCUACUAUUCAUCUAUUAGGCCUAAAUCACAGAUGUUACUUUGGCUAACCAAAAUUUGUUUUCUUUUAGUCUAUGCUUGGUAAUAAGUUGAUGUAAAACAGCAAAUAUUCGUUCAGUACUACACUUUCCUGUGAUGCCCAGCCAUUGUUUCAGGCUUUCAGCUUGUACUUGAAUAAGAUGUCACUUCUUUUUCUCUACAUAAUUUUACUUAAUAGACCCGCCUUUUCUUCUAAAUAAAAUGAAAAUGGAGUAAGUGCAGUGACUGGGUCAUUGCCGCUGGGAUAUAGCACAUGAGACAUUGGGAACACUGCUCUCUCAUAGUUAGUAUACUAAUGAUGCUGAUUUGGUGUUUCUAGUCAGAGGAAGAGAAUCAAUGAAUCUUGAAAAAUGAGUGCCUAGUACACUAUCUAAUCUUCCUUGGAGUUAAUACUUAUGAAUUAUGAUGCCAACAAAAUGGUGCUUAUUGUACUGUUUCCUGCAAACUGUUGUUACCAAGUGCAAUGAGCAUAUAUGCAUAGAGCAAGGCUAAAGUGACUCGGCAAAUGUACUUUCACUAGUUUAUUUCUGCAUGAUGUAUUUAUGGUUCCCCCGCAUCUUCAUAUUUUGAUGAUACUUUGAACUUCUGCAGCUUUCUUUUCAAAUAGAGCUGACGAAAUUUAGCCUUAAAAUGGUACAUGAAGCAUAUGUAUUGCUAGUUGCAGUUUUAACUCUUUCUAAUUAUGAAUCAUAUGUCUUCUCUUGUAGAUUUGCAUGAUGGAGGCUGCGGAAUUUCGCCCUUGGUCAGAUCUUCCGCCAGAACUCCUGGGACUUGUUCUCAAGCGCCUCCCUUCCCUAGCUGACCGUGUUCGUUUGAGAGCUGUCUGCCACCCAUGGCGCUCUAAUAGCAGGUUGCAGACCCUUCCUCUCCCAUUCCCGUGGCUCACUCUCCCUGAUGGCACCCUCCUCGGCAUUCCAAGCGGUGAAAUUCACCACAUAUCUUUACCGGAAGGUGCGUGUUGCCAGGGCUCCAUUGACAACUUGCUAUUCCUCAUGCACAAUGAUGGUGUGUGCUACUUGAUGAACCCUUUCUCCAAGACCAGGUUGCAGCUUCGUAAGCUAGCAAAGGUAUGGAAGCGUGAGAUAUAUGAUCCCGAACCCCGAAUUAACCCAAUUUUCUACAACUUGGUGGUGCCCUUUCCACUUGACUCGUCACCCUGUUCCCUACUUGCUGCACUGAUCAUGGAUGAUGGUAACUGGGGUACACUUUGUAUUAGUCAAUCACCGAUUGUCACUGACUCAUUCAGAGAUGAUAAGCAUCCAGCAAAGCUCCUCUGUAGUGUUGCGUUCUUUGAUGGCAAGCUGUACGGGCUGGGGGGGUUUGACCAACUAUUCAUCUUUGAAUUAGACAAGGACCUUGGUAUUUCAUCCAUGGAGUGUAUAAUUGACUCUAUGGGUGAGUUAGGUGGAAUACCUCAAUCGUUGUCGGAAGAGAAGGCGUAUAUGAUAAGGCGGUAUCUAGUUGAAUGUGGCGAUAGACUGUUGAUGGUGAAACGGUGGAUUCAUCCUAUUGCCCGUUCAACAAGUGAUGACUUUUUCGAGCAUAACCGUACUGUUGCACUUGGGGUUUUUGAGGCAGAUUUGGGCACCGAUCCUGCUGGAUGGAGAACAGUAAAUGAUUUGGAUGGCCAUGCGCUCUUUCUUGGCCAGCAUAGCUCCAAGUCCCUGCGCGCUGGAGAAUGCAGUGGAUACCAAGAGGACUGCAUCUACUUCAUGUGUGACUAUUCCUGGCCAAAGCAUUCUGCAAAUCCUCUUCGUGAUGCCGGUGUUUACAACAUCAGGAAUCAGACAUUCAUGCCACUGAUGUCGGGGACUGCAGCGGUACCGCCACAUCAUGCUGGCCAGUGGCGUCCGACAUGGUUUUUCCCUCCUGAAGCUGUGUGACCAAGCCUUGUAAUCACUGAUCUUCAGAGUAAUUGUUGGAUAAUGUAUCUGAGAUGGAAGUUGGAAGGGCUUCGUCCUCACAGCGACAGGUGAGUUGUUGAUGGAUGGUAGAGAUUCGUAGUGUUAGUUUCUGUGUUGGUAGGCUGGUAGGUUCAGUUUGAUGAGUGAUGUGUUCUACCUGGUGGCUGUUGUUCUGUCUUGUGGUGGCUGAACUUAGUGAUCCUGUCCUAGUGUAGCGUUGUAACUGCUGUUGCCUGAACUUUUAAACGCGGGCCGCUGUAUCAUCAGUUUUAUUUUAAUUAAAUUGGAGGGUGUGUUCUCCUUUCAUCAAAAUUUUCUUGUAUGAUGUUAGAUUCUGUAUUAGUAUGAUGAUAGAGAUGUUUUGCAUUUUCAAGUAUUAUGGAUGAUUUGUUUUUGCUGGUAUUAUGGAUGAUUUUUAACAGGAUGCAUUGUAAUGCGCAAGUCUUUUGCUGUGAUAUA